Microcebus murinus (gray mouse lemur) is the source of this 2199-nucleotide non-coding RNA. The record is from RefSeq and is a predicted model, not a curated record. Lineage: Eukaryota; Metazoa; Chordata; Mammalia; Primates; Cheirogaleidae.
CCCCACCCGCCACCCCCCAGCUAGUUCUUAUGACAGUUCUGGGCGAUACCGGGUACCCAGGACCCAGCCCCCAGGUGGGCCACCCGACUCGUUCCCUGCUCCGCACUGUCACUGUGGGACCAGGCGGUAGACCCCAGUGUGGUCGGAUCCCGCCCUGUCCUCUGGGCCUGGGGAUGGUGGUGGGUGGAGGCAGCCCCGAGCAGCCUCCGCUUCACCCCAGGGUCUGGUUUUGGUGACCUGCCCCCCAAGGCGCCUGCGCAGAGGUUAUUUCCUGCAGAAGCGAAGCCCUCAGCCCCACGCCCCUCCGCUGACUUCCAGACUCUGAUGCGUCUCUUGUUGUUUGCUGUGUAGACAACAUUUUGCUGCCCUUACCUUCUGUAGUAGUUUGAGUUAGGGUGAGGCUAUAACAAAGGUGACCAUCUGUAAACCAGGAAGUGCACCCUCACCAGAUAUGGAUUUGCUGGCAUCUUGACCUUGGACUUCCCAGCCUCCAGAAUGGUAAGAACUUUGUCAUCAAACACCUGGAAGGUUCUACUAUUCACAGUCAGCUCUUCAACCAAAACUGAGGCUUAACUAAUCACACACAGCUCAGAGAACCUGUCUUUGGAAAACUGCCACCAUUUACCUGCCCUGCCCAAAGGCAACCUUCGGGUUACUGAGGUUCCCCACAGCAGCUUGCCAGGAUUAGAAUGCUUAAACUUCCCUGGACAUCUUGUGCCUCCUUAAUGAACUGGGUAGUGUUCCAGGCUUUAGUUCUUCCUAUGGGCAGAUAAUUGGUUUGAAUUUGAACUUAAAGGUUAUUACCACAAUUGUUUUACUCUUAAUAUCCACUCAUUAACUGGUCAUUAAUGGAUGCCCAGCUUGCCUGAGCCUUGAGGGGCAGCACCUUGUGAGUGAGGAACCAGAAUUUGCCAAGCCAAGGGCCACAAAAAUACUGACCAGAAUGAGAAAGCAGGGACAGAAAAUACAACCUGGGGUUUCAGAUCUAGCAGGUCUCAGCAGAGGCAAGAGCCAGAAUUGGGAAUGGUUAGCAACGAGACAUUGUCAAAGUAAAACCAGGUAUGAGCUGGAGAACCUGUAGAGUUCACUGGUGGGUUCAAGAAUUCAGGGGGUUCAUGAGAAGCCCCUCUUAAGCCAGCCUUUGCUGAGUUUCUUUGAGCCAAAGACAGAGUCUUCGGGGGACUACUCUGGGCAGAAGGUGAGAGGACAGAGGUGAGGAUGCUGGCAGGAUAAUCAACUCACCCCAGGGGUGUUCUUGGUUUCGGCACUGAAAGCCUGGCAUUCCAAUGACACUCUAGUGACCACCUCAGUCCCAGGAAACCAGGACAGUCGGGUUCCCCUGGUGCUUGGCUGCACGUAAGCAUAACAUGAGACGCAGAGGUGGUCUCUGUAGUAGGCCCCAUCUCAUAGACAGACAAGCAAAGGCCCCGCUGAGGGCUGGGAUGGACUAUGGAGGCUGACAGAAGAGCCUCCAGGUGAGGAAUAACUUGCACAAGGAAGGAAAAAAUGUUGGAAGGGGCCUGUGCUGAGGGACGUCUCCAAAGUUCUUGCUAAAACUGAGAUCUACAGAUGUGUUCAAAUGUCCAUACAGGUGUCCUUCAACCAUCUGGUGUCCUUAGGAAAGAGAAGAAUAAUUUUAUAUUUAUACUUCGCUAAUUUAAGGCAGAGUUUAACGAGCCCAGUCACCCUCAGUGUCUGUUUUAUCUGCAUGUUAAAUAUUUGGGGAUUCGCAGUCAGCCUUCUUUAGGUCACUGUAGCAAUUCAGAAGAUCAUAAAUCUCUUUGUCCUAAACCACCCCACCCCCAUCCUUCCCAGUGCUCCAAACUCACAAAUAAAGUGGUGGAAAAUGGUUUCGCUGCUAAGAAAAGAAGCAAUUACCUAUUUUCUUUACUUUGACCCAUGACAUAUAAAGACAUUAAUCUGUGAUACAGCAAAUGCUCUACAAUACUGAUAAUGUUUAUCCACACUCAGUACAACCUACAUUGGUGGCCGUUUUUCCAAUUGUAGUCAUGGGUUUACCCUAUACCAGCACUUUUCAAUUUAUUGAUUUUACCUUACAGCAGCAGAGUCCUUUUGCUUGAACAGAAUGUACAUAAUACUCUGAUAUAUAAAAAAGACAAAAUGUGAUCUGCUGUGAGUCGAGGGAACAGGUAGAUGAUCAGGAACCAUCUCACUCUCCCCUGCAAAGCGUAAGACACC